GGUAGGGAAUGGAAGGUUAACUUCACUUCCUGCUCUGUAGUCCCACGAACCAUGAAACAUGCACUAUCCUGGAAGGAAAUCAGACUGCCAUCUGAAUAUACCAGGCAGGAGAUGAUAGAAGGGCAGUCCAGAGUGGCACACCAAAGUAUUUCUGAUGCCAGAACUUCACCAUCAGAGACAGCAGUCCUCUUCCCUGGCCUGGACAAGAUCCCCAAGGUACAUAUCAGAAAUGAAGGCUGUCCUCAAGCUGCCACAAAACUGGAAGUGGAGAAUGAUACAAGAGUAAGUCAAAUCACCACAAACCUCUCUUAUCAACAGUCAGCUAUUUUCCUUGAUUUAGAGUUUUUCUCAUUAUUGUAAGCUUUUGAUUAGACUCCAGAUUUCUAAAAAAAGGUGAUUCUGACAGUUUUUACGUCUGUUCAUUGCUUUUGUGGAAAGAUGGACUUUCAGAAUUUUCUCCUUUACCAUUUCUACUAAUGUCAUCCUGUUUUUCAGUACUUUCGAGAAUUUUUUUUUUUUUUUUUUUUUUUACAAUUUGAAGUCAAAUUUAUCAAUUUUUCCUUUUAUGUUUCUUUUAAGUUUUGGCUUUUAUGCACAUUUAGAAA
Molecule: long non-coding RNA, 605 nt
Filed under: Pan troglodytes (chimpanzee)
Lineage: Eukaryota; Metazoa; Chordata; Mammalia; Primates; Hominidae
Description: lncRNA (ENSPTRG00000052901.1)
Source: RNAcentral